AGCGGCAAGAGCUCAGAUUUGGAAUCGUGUUUCGGCACGAGUUGUAAAUUGCAGGUUGGAGUCUUUGUGGAAGCGUGUGUCCAAGUCCCUUGGAACAGGGCGCCAUUGAGGGUGAGAGCCCCGUGGGAUGCGCGCGGAAGCAACAAGGCCCUUCUGACGAGUCGAGUUGUUUGGGAAUGCAGCUCUAAGCGGGUGGUAAAUUCCAUCUAAGGCUAAAUACUGGCGAGAGACCGAUAGCGAACAAGUACUGUGAAGGAAAGAUGAAAAGCACUUUGAAAAGAGAGUGAAACAGCACGUGAAAUUGUUGAAAGGGAAGGGUAUUGGGCCCGACAUGGGGAUUGCGCAUCUCUGCUCCUUGUGGGCGGGGCGCUGUGCUUUUCCUGGGCCAGCAUCGGUUUUUGCCGCAGGAGAAGGGGUACUGGAAUGUGGCUCCUCGGAGUGUUAUAGCCAGUGCCAGAUGCUGCGUGCGGGGACCGAGGGCUGCGACAUCUGUCUCGGAUGCUGGCACAACGGCGCAAUACCGCCCGUCUUGAACCACGGAC
RNAcentral lists this ribosomal RNA (542 nucleotides) under [Candida] sp. RNAcentral describes it as "partial large subunit ribosomal RNA". It matches the Rfam family "Eukaryotic large subunit ribosomal RNA", at positions 97 to 666 of the family's 3401-position model. The record is from RNAcentral. Lineage: Eukaryota; Fungi; Ascomycota; Saccharomycetes; Saccharomycetales.